Long non-coding RNA from Humulus lupulus (European hop), 297 nucleotides. RefSeq lists it as uncharacterized. Lineage: Eukaryota; Viridiplantae; Streptophyta; Magnoliopsida; Rosales; Cannabaceae. The transcript is spliced from 3 exons. The record is from RefSeq and is a predicted model, not a curated record.
CCGUGACCUAGAGAGAGAGAGAGAGAGAGAGGAAGAAAGAAAGAAAGAAAGAAAGAAGGAGAAGGUGAAGAGGAACCCAUCUUAGAGCUUGAACAAGGGUGUGGAGUUUGGGUAUUGAUCUUAUUGUGUUCUUGAUUUUACAAUCAAGAGAGGUAGCAAAUAGGAUUUCUCUAUGGCACGCGUGGUGACGUGAGGAGUUCUUUCAUCAUGGGGUGUAUGGCGUGGGGUAAUCCUAUGGACGAAAAACGAUCGACGUAGAACGCCAUUUUUAAAUUAUGUUUUGUUUUUAAGAGACUU